CUUGGUCAUUUAGAGGAAGUAAAAGUCGUAACAAGGUUUCCGUAGGUGAACCUGCGGAAGGAUCAUUAAUGAAACAAACCGGGGGCGGUGGGGCGCGUUCUGUGCUAAUUAAAAAUUUGUUUUUUUUUGCCGCGUCGCCCCCCCAUACCUUGUACAUCUGUGACUCUGAUUGCCGCUCCGGGGCUUUGGACGGGCCUGCUCCUCGAAACUUUUCACACCCUCUUGUUUGUAAUACAAAGUCAACGAGUGAGUAGCUGCAACUUUCACAGCUUUCUGCACCGGAUGUCUUGGAUCUCACAUCAAUGAAGAACGCAGCGAAAUGCGAAAGUAAUGUGAAUUGCGGAAUUCCGGGGAUCACCCUGUCUUUCCUCGCACCUUGCCCAUUUUGAUUUGAUUUACGGUACGCUCGCAUGAUUGGCGUUGUACUCACACUGGGGUGGGCCUUGUUCCCUAGCUGAAUGUGGACAUGGACGUCGGCCUGACGAUCCGCCACACGUCGACAACCCUGGAAGGUACUCUGAUUUCCCCCAUAUUUCAUGUGCUGCAUCUGUACUCCCUUGAUAUAUCUGGCUCGCGUCUACACAUCUAUACCUCUAUGACCCCGUGAACCCUCCAGAGAUGGUGUGUGAUGCAUCACGUAAAAUCUCGUGCUGAUACCAGCUCAACUAGUGCAACUCACAUCUCGCAAGAUUGCCGAAGUCGCUCGAACCGGUCGGAUCAUACGA
RNAcentral lists this ribosomal RNA (725 nucleotides) under uncultured Agaricales. RNAcentral describes it as "eukaryotic LSU rRNA". The stretch from base 268 to 420 matches the Rfam family "5.8S ribosomal RNA". Lineage: Eukaryota; Fungi; Basidiomycota; Agaricomycetes; Agaricales. The record is from RNAcentral.